UCCGUUGGUGAACCAGCGGAGGGAUCAUUACAAGAAGCCGAAAGGCUACUUACAACCAUCGAUGAANUCUUCCAAGUUGCUUCGGCGGCGCGGGGCCCCCCGGGGCGCCGCAGCCCGGCCUCUCCGGAGGCGCGGGGCAACCGCCGGAGGUACCAAACCCCUGUAUUUUAGUGGACUUCUGAUUAAACAAGCAAUUAUUAAAACUUUCAACAACGGAUCUCUUGGCUCUGGCAUCGAUGAAGAACGCAGCGAAAUGCGAUAAGUAAUGUGAAUUGCAGAAUUCAGUGAAUCAUCGAAUCUUUGAACGCACAUUGCGCCCGCUAGUACUCUAGCGGGCAUGCCUGUCCGAGCGUCAUUUCAACCCUCAAGCCCUGCUUGGUGUUGGGGCCCUACGGCUGCCGUAGGCCCUGAAACGGAACGUGGCGGGCUCGCUGCAAGCUCCGAUGCGUACGUAAUUCAUUAUCUCGCUACGGGAGGCGNCGGCCGUGCUGCCUGCCGUUAAAAACCCCGUAUUUUAUCCAAGGUUGACCUCGGAUCAGGUAGGAAUACCCKCUGAACUUAAGCCAUAUCAAUAAG
RNAcentral lists this ribosomal RNA (576 nucleotides) under uncultured fungus. RNAcentral's name for it is "eukaryotic LSU rRNA". The stretch from base 202 to 355 matches the Rfam family "5.8S ribosomal RNA". The record is from RNAcentral. Lineage: Eukaryota; Fungi.